GGGGAAUAUUGCACAAUGGGGGGAAACCCUGAUGCAGCGACGCCCGCGUGAGUGAAGAAGUAUUUCGGUAUGUAAAGCUCUAUCAGCAGGAAAGAAAAUGACGGUACCUGACUAAGAAGCCCCGGCUAACUAC
Molecule: ribosomal RNA, 133 nt
Filed under: uncultured bacterium
Lineage: Bacteria
Description: partial 16S ribosomal RNA
Rfam family: Bacterial small subunit ribosomal RNA
Source: RNAcentral